AUAUUUCAAGCAUGGAUGCUGUUAAUCAAAUGGGUUAAGCAUCGCCAUAUAUAUGUCAAUCAUAGAUGUUGUUAAUCAAGCGGGUUAAGCAUAAGCACAACGAAAUUAGGAUAAAGUAUUCAAAAGACAAUAGAAAUCAAGUUGGAUACAAACAUAAACAACAUAGAACUAAAAACAAACACAUUUCAUCGUAAAAAGAAUAGUUUGAACUCGAAACAGAGAAUAGACCACAACAUAAAAUGGCCACCAUAAUAAGCCUAAUCAAGUGAAACAUCACACUGAAUUUUAUAGUGGAGUCUUCAAAACCCGUGACAUGUAUAAAAUUUAAUUUUUGCAUAAGACCACACUCAAUUUAAUUUUCUCAUGGGAAACAAACUUAAAAACCAAAUCAUAGUAAAUAUAAAAGUGAACCACCAUAUAAUGGACAAAUAUCAAUGUAGUUGACAAUUUUUCCAACAUUAUAAACCUUAUAUUAAGAUUUAUAAUUUUGCUCAUUAUUUCAAGUGUUGGGUGUUAUCACUAUGUAUUAUAUAAAGCUGAAAAAACUAAUAUGACAUGUUGUAUUGGAUUGAUAUGCACCACCACCCAAUUAUAUUCACACCAAGCAUGCUCCAUUUUUCUCUUUUAAAUGGCCCUGAAAUAACCAAAUCAAUAAAUGUAAUUCCUAAUAGCCAUUCUUUCUUUGUGACAUUUCUAAAUAAGACAUCAUUCACAAUGCUUCAUCACAAAAGACUAUGAGAUAAUUUCUACUUACAAUUCAAUCAAAUUGUGAUGAUCCAAAAGACCAUGGUACAAUUGAAGUUGUUCGAAAUCCUUAGCAUAUAAGCUUUGAUAACCUUUAUGACAAAGAAAAUGGAUAAUCACGAUGAUUUAGAUAUAGUGAUACAACUUAGCAUUAUUAACAAAUCCAAAUUAGAGUUUACCUUUGUAAAAUGCAUCAUAUGAUUACUAUCAAGGUACUUAUUAUGGACACAUGAANNNNNNNNNNNNNNNNNNNNNNNNNNNNNNNNNNGAUUAGGGAAUCUAGAUUCAGGAAAAAAAACCUUUAAUAUAUAGGAAGAAGGUUAUUAUUUGAGAAUAUAUAGGUUACUAUUCCUAAUUUGGGACAAAGGAGUACUAUAUGUUAUUAUUUGAAAGAAUGUUACUAUUUGUAAUUUGGGACAAAUGAGUGCUAUUUGGGACAUAUGAGUACUAUUCAAAAUAUAGGUAUAGGUAGGAGGAAUGAUUGCAUGAUAAGAAUUUUGUGAAUGACAUGAUAGCAAGUUCCAAGAAUACAUGUAAUCAAUAGAAUUGAUAAAGAAGUCAUGCCAAUAGAAUUCAUAACAAUGAAAUCAUUGCAUCAUGUGAAUGACACAUAAACAACUAACAUAUGAAAGCUGAGAAAGUAAAGGAACAAAAGACAACAUGUUGUCUACAAAUUUUAGGGAAUGAACAUAUUGAAAAAAAUUUAGUAUAAAUUGCUAAACAUAAAUUCAAAUUAAAAAAUGCUACAUAAAAAAAAUAGACUAAUUACUUAAAAGAAAAUUUAAAAUAUAAUUUAUUAAUCAUAAGUUACAAUGAUGGUAAAAUUAGUGUGAAUGUAGUUUUAGGAGGAGUUGGUUUACAUAGGGUUAAUGAAUUCAUCUAUGAAGACACUUAUUCAUUGGCAUACAUGCAUGAUGCCACUUGUCUCUUGACUUCUUUACACAUGUCAAAUGGAGCAAGAAAUAGAGAUAAUAGGUAUAAUCAUUAUAUGAUAGCUAGUAAUAGGGAUAAUCAUGAUAGGAAUAGCUAGUAAUAGAUAUAAUGAUGAUAGAGAAGCAAUGAUGGCAUUAUAUGAUCAUGAAAGGAAGGUUGCAUGUGAUGUUAGAAAGAUGUGGUAGAUUAAUCACCUAAUUAUUGAAUGAAGGAUAUCAAGAUGAGAUAUUGAGAACAUGUAAACUUGCUCACAUUAUUUGCAGCUUCNNNNNNNNNNNNNNNNAUCUUGCCAUUUAAGAAAGUAAACAAAAAAUUGGAAUCAACACAAUGAAGCUAAGUGAAAAUAUCAAAGUAAAUUAAAACAUUUCAUAUAAUUGAAAACACUUUUGACAAAAGGAAUCAAGAUUAUUCUUUAAAAUCAGUUUUUCUGCACAAACAUAGCAACAACACCUUAACUUUCGCAGUUUAAUUAAAAUACCAAACGAUAUCCGUUUUGAGUAAACGACCACUCGUUGGAAAGAUUAGGAUGUCAAGAUUACAGAUAUAAUUUUUGUUAUAAGUGUUAACCAUCCAAUUGGUCCAGUUUAACAAAAGAUUGGGUAUUGGUACAGAAACAGAUUUUUCUGCACAACCAUAGCAACAACACCUUAACUUUGGCAACUUAAUUAAAAUACCAAACGAUAUCCGUUUUGAGUAAACGACCACUCUUUUGAAAGUUUAGGAUGUCAAGAUUACAAAUAUAAUUUUUGUUUUGAGGUUUAACCAUCCAAUUGGUCCAGUUUAACAAAAGAUUGGGUAUCGGUGCAGAAACAGGACUAAAACUAUACUCAAACUUGUAGGUAGCUUUUCUCCUAUUAUACUUAUGGGAAUUUAACAUUUUCGGUGACUAAAUUGUAGGAAAUUUUGUCUUCUUUGUAGUGGAUUAAAAAUAUUUAGCAUAUGACCUAUAUUCAGAGAGUUAUACUAAAUUUACCACAUGUAUGUCUACACAAAUUUCACCUAAAUAUUUCUUCUUUUACAUGAACUUGCAGCCUAAACAUAUACUGUCCAUUUUAACUUAUAAAAUUUCUUUUGUCCAUCUUCUAGGGUCUUAGGGUUUGGUAUAAAAGAGAAAGAAUAAAAAGAGAAGGUUGGUUUGUCUUACCUUAGUUUUUCCAACACCCAAAAGCUUGAANNNNNNNNNNNNNNNNNNAGUUUUUCCAACACCCAAAAACUUGAAUCUAGGAGAAUUUCAUACAUGCAAAACUGAAGUUGAAAAAUAUAAAUUUGAGAGACUGAAAUUUGUUCAUAAAUCUGCAGAUUCAUCAAAUGAACUUAAACAAAUCAAUCAAGAAAAACAUAUCAAUCAAUAAGAAAUUGCAUACCCAAAAAAUUCAUAAAAAAAAAAAGAAUAAAAAUUGACCUUGUUGUUGACUAUGAUCCAUCAAUCUUUCUUGUGAUUGUGUUUAGCCAGAUCCUCAAAGGUUAAAAUCUUUGAUGUUGAACUCAUCUUCUUUUACUGCAAAAUCAUAAUAAUCAUUAUUGUUAUUAUUAAAAUUAAUCGAAUAACCCAUUCCCAAACCAAAACACAAUCUUCAAUCAAUAAAACAAACACCAAACAGAACAACUAAAAUAAAACAAACAAAGCAGAAAAUUGAUAGGGGAAGAACAGACAAAAAAAAACGAAAAAAAAUAAAGAAAGAAGCAAAACAGAUCGAACCAGAUGAAAGAAGCUCCGGCGGCGACGGUGGCCGGCGAUGGCUCGCCGGAAUCUGGGGAUGGGUGGUGGUGUUCUUGUUGUUCUUCAUGAUGUUCAUGAAGAUGGUGAGAAAAUAGAGAGAGAUAGUAGGGAGAAAAGAGAGAAGAGAGAGAAAGAAAUUUGAGAAAUAAAGAAAGUAGGAGAAAAGGAAAUAUAUAUUAGUGAAACAUAUAUGUGUCAAGAAGUGAUUGGCUAGAAAAUAGGAUUAGGUGUCAAUGUGAAGAUUGAACCCUAAAAUGAAAUGAAAACC
Molecule: long non-coding RNA, 3665 nt
Filed under: Trifolium pratense (red clover)
Lineage: Eukaryota; Viridiplantae; Streptophyta; Magnoliopsida; Fabales; Fabaceae
Description: long non-coding RNA (TPRA_LNC000637)
Source: RNAcentral